AAUCUGUGUUGUGGGCAUUGGCGAAGAAAACCCUUGUAUCGUUCCCAAGCCUCUAAAUAGCAUUCUGAGUCCAAUUGCUGAAAAGUAGUGAUCUCGUCCCGUACCUU
Molecule: small nucleolar RNA, 107 nt
Filed under: Olea europaea subsp. europaea
Lineage: Eukaryota; Viridiplantae; Streptophyta; Magnoliopsida; Lamiales; Oleaceae
Description: Plant small nucleolar RNA R71
Rfam family: Plant small nucleolar RNA R71
About the family: R71 is a member of the C/D box family of snoRNAs containing the C (UGAUGA) and D (CUGA) box motifs. Multiple nearly identical copies of this snoRNA have been identified in Arabidopsis, and it is thought to function as a 2'-O-ribose methylation guide for 18S ribosomal RNA.
Source: Rfam by way of RNAcentral